Non-coding RNA from Equus caballus (horse), 594 nucleotides. Lineage: Eukaryota; Metazoa; Chordata; Mammalia; Perissodactyla; Equidae. The record is from RefSeq and is a predicted model, not a curated record.
UACCACAGCAUAGCGUGCCAAGUGGUGCCAUGUCCGCACCUGGGAUCCAAACCAGCUAACCCCGGGCCGCCAAGAAACAGAACGUGCGAACUUAACUGCUGCGCCACCAGGACGGCCCUGGAGUAGAAGUUUUGAAGAGUGGGAAAGCGAACAUAUUAGAGGAGUAUAGGAGGAAUACAGAACACCAGCCUGGUAUCCAGAGGAUACUUCCAAACUAGGAGAUGUUAAAACCAAAAAAGAGGUCUUCCCAGAGGCAGGGGAAUGGACAAGAUGACCUAGUGGAGCAUCCAUCCUUGCAAAGAAAGCCUCAGUCUUCAUCCUGCUGGCUUCUCUCUUCCGCUGCAGCAGUAAAAUGAGUUUUUGUUUUGUUUAGUUUAGAAUAAGAUCCCAUAAUUUAUUCUGCACAUAAUGUCAUAAAAGAAAAAUAUAAUGGCUCUUUGCAGUUGCAUGCAUUACAGUACGAAUUUCGUUGUCUUUUUGAAUUCAGCUUAUUAUUACAGCAAUGAUUUGGGUUAAAUGUUUAUGUAACAGAAAUUUUCUGCUUCUUGAUAUGUGAUAAGAAUGUGAUGAUCAGUAAAAUUAAUUUUAUAACAA